Molecule: ribosomal RNA, 465 nt
Filed under: Vreelandella stevensii
Lineage: Bacteria; Pseudomonadati; Pseudomonadota; Gammaproteobacteria; Oceanospirillales; Halomonadaceae
Description: partial 16S ribosomal RNA
Rfam family: Bacterial small subunit ribosomal RNA
Source: RNAcentral
CCUACGGGAGGCUGCAGUGGGGAAUAUUGGACAAUGGGGGGAACCCUGAUCCAGUCAUGCCGCGUGUGUGAAGAAGGCCCUCGGGUUGUAAAGCACUUUCAGUGAGGAAGAACGCCUGGUGGUUAAUACCCAUCAGGAAAGACAUCACUCACAGAAGAAGCACCGGCUAACUCCGUGCCAGCAGCCGCGGUAAUACGGAGGGUGCGAGCGUUAAUCGGAAUUACUGGGCGUAAAGCGCGCGUAGGUGGCUUGAUAAGCCGGUUGUGAAAGCCCCGGGCUCAACCUGGGAACGGCAUCCGGAACUGUCAAGCUAGAGUGCAGGAGAGGAAGGUAGAAUUCCCGGUGUAGCGGUGAAAUGCGUAGAGAUCGGGAGGAAUACCAGUGGCGAAGGCGGCCUUCUGGACUGACACUGACACUGAGGUGCGAAAGCGUGGGUAGCAAACAGGAUUAGAUACCCUUGUAGUC